CUGUACCGGAGCGUCGAAGUUCA
This 23-nucleotide non-coding RNA is filed under the name Arabidopsis thaliana (thale cress). Lineage: Eukaryota; Viridiplantae; Streptophyta; Magnoliopsida; Brassicales; Brassicaceae. The record is from RNAcentral.